Molecule: transfer RNA, 74 nt
Filed under: Gloeobacter kilaueensis JS1
Lineage: Bacteria; Bacillati; Cyanobacteriota; Cyanophyceae; Gloeobacterales; Gloeobacteraceae
Description: tRNA-Gly
Rfam family: tRNA
About the family: Transfer RNA (tRNA) molecules are approximately 80 nucleotides in length. Their secondary structure includes four short double-helical elements and three loops (D, anti-codon, and T loops).
Source: RNAcentral
GCGGGUGUAGUUUAGUGGUAAAACCACAGUCUUCCAAACUGUCGUUGCGGGUUCGAUUCCCGCCACCCGCUUCA